This is a long non-coding RNA of Ochotona curzoniae (black-lipped pika), 1017 nucleotides long. RefSeq lists it as uncharacterized. The transcript has 2 exons. The record is from RefSeq and is a predicted model, not a curated record. NCBI's taxonomy places the organism in Eukaryota, Metazoa, Chordata, Mammalia, Lagomorpha, Ochotonidae.
CCCUGGGCAGUUACAGUCCUUCACUUGGCUCUGUCAUCCUGCGUUGCUGGGACACAAGCCUUCUUGUGCUUCUCCCAGUGCUUCACUUGGCACUCCCUGUGGGCAGUCAGGCUGGUGAGGGCGGCAGUGUUUAGGGGGAGGGAUCCCAGGGCUGGAGGAGAGGGGUGUGGGUGUGUGUGAUGCCUCACCUGCAGCAGUACCACUCCUUCCGACACCUGGAGCAGCGCUUGGUGGCCCCAGCACUGCAAUAGCCACAGCGGGGUCCAUCUGGAGCGAUGGCCUCCAGCACAUCCAGCCGAUAGGUCUCCGCCCAUCUACAAAGGACCGGCAGGGGCAGAGGCAGUGGAGAAGCACUGGCCCACAUCUGGGUCUCAGGGCUCCCAACCGCUCUGGCAGCUCAGUCCGUCUUACCUUGCUGCCUGCAGCCGCAGGUCCUUCUCAGAUGGACUGAACACGUGCUGAAGCUGGUGCUUGGCGAUCGCCUGCCACUUGCCCUUGUUCUCUCGCUCCAGCUGUUCCCAGAUUUCUGGGAUCUAGAGAAAGAGACAUGGAGAACAACAAGGAGGAACAGGCAAGACAGACAACAAAAGUCCUGAGUGGCCAGCUCACAGGGGGAAGCUGCGCAGGCCCCGCACCAGCACAUCCGCCUCCCCGGGCAGCAGCAGCUCCAGGUCGCCCAUCUUGGGGCCAGGGUCUUCAGGCCGCAGCCGAAGCGGAGGUGCUGACAGACACGUCAGGACGCCGGACUGCCGUGGAACCAGAGCCGGCCACAGGACAGUUGUAGGGCAGUUGGGAGCGCGUGGAUCCUAGUUGCCAGGGAAACGCGUGAGCUUGCGCCUGCGCCGAGAGGCCUCGGCUGCGCCCCUGCCGGCGGCUCAGCGUCGCAGAGCCCAUUGUUUAUGGCAACUAUGCUCCAGUCCUCCUACUGCAGGCCUGCUAUGCCUGGAGCCUGGGACUGCUGAUAGAUAGUAAGUUGGUCGGCACACGCUUGGGGUAACGUGAACUCCGUCCGUUCUU